AUGCUUCCAAGAAAAGCCCUAUACCCGUUAAGGCAUGAUGGCCUGUACCCGAAACCGACACAGGUGGGGUGGUAGAGAAUACCGAGGGGCGCGAGGUAACUCUCUCUAAGGAACUCGGCAAAAUGGCCCCGUAACUUCGGGAGAAGGGGUGCCACCGCAAGGUGGUCGCAGUGAAGAGGCCCAGGCGACUGUUUACCAAAAACACAGGUCUCCGCUAAGUCGCAAGACGAUGUAUGGGGGCUGACGCCUGCCCAGUGCCGGAAGGUUAAGGAAGCUGGUCAGCGUAAGCGAAGCUAGCGACUGAAGCCCCGGUGAACGGCGGCCGUAACAAUAACGGUCCUAAGGUAGCGAAAUCCCUUGUCGGGUAAGUUCCGACCCGCACGAAAGGCGUAACGAUCUGGGCGCUGUCUCGGAGAGAGGCUCGGCGAAAUAGAAUUGUCUGUGAAGAUGCGGACUACGUGCACCCGGACAGAAAGACCCUAUGAAGCUUUACUGUAGCUUGGUAUUGUGCUCGGGCUCGGAAUGCGCAGGAUAGGUGGGAGGCUAUGAACCAUUGCUUGUGGGUGAUGGUGAGCCACUGGUGAGAUACCACUCUUUCCGAGCUAGAGUUCUAACAGCCACCCGUUAUCCGGGGGCUGGACAGUAUCAGGUGGGCAGUUUGACUGGGGCGGUCGCCUCCUAAAAGGUAACGGAGGCGCGCAAAGGUUUGCUCAGGCUGGUUGGAAAUCAGCCGACGAGUGUAAAAGCAGAAGCAAGCUUGACUGUGAGACCUACAAGUCGAACAGGGAGGAAACUCGGCUUUAGUGAUCCGACGGUUCUGCGUGGAAGGGCCGUCGCUCAACGGAUAAAAGUUACUCUAGGAUAACAGGCUGAUCUCCCCCAAGAGUUCACAUCGACGGGGAGGUUUGGCACCUCGAUGUCGGCUCAUCGCAACCUGGGGCUGAAGUCGGUCCCAAGGGUUGGGCUGUUCGCCCAUUAAAGCGGUACGCGAGCUGGGUUCAGAACGUCGUGAGACAGUUCGGUCCAUAUCCGGUGCAUGCGCAGGAAUAUUGAGAGGAUUUCUCCCUAGUACGAGAGGACCGGGAGGAACGCACCUCUGGUGUACCAGUUAUCGUGCCAACGGUAAACGCUGGGUAGCCAUGUGCGGAGAGGAUAACCGCUGAAAGCAUCUAAGUGGGAAGCCCACCUCAAGAUGAGUAUUCCCAUGGGGUAACCCAGUAAGGUCACGGGAAGAACACCCGUUGAUAGGCUCUACGUGGAAGCGCAGUAAUGUGUGAAGCGGAGGAGUACUAAUAGACCGAGGGCUU
This 1307-nucleotide ribosomal RNA is filed under the name metagenome. RNAcentral describes it as "bacterial LSU rRNA". It matches the Rfam family "Bacterial large subunit ribosomal RNA", at positions 1602 to 2925 of the family's 2925-position model. The record is from RNAcentral.